RNAcentral lists this ribosomal RNA (489 nucleotides) under uncultured bacterium. Its description in RNAcentral is "partial 16S ribosomal RNA". It matches the Rfam family "Bacterial small subunit ribosomal RNA", at positions 28 to 507 of the family's 1533-position model. The record is from RNAcentral.
GAUGAACGCUAGCUACAGGCUUAACACAUGCAAGUCGAGGGGCAGCAUGAUUGAAGCUUGCUUCAAUCGAUGGCGACCGGCGCACGGGUGAGUAACACGUAUCCAACCUGCCGAUAACUCGGGGAUAGCCUUUCGAAAGAAAGAUUAAUACCCGAUAGUAUAGUAUUUCCGCAUGGUUUCACUAUUAAAGAACUUCGGUUAUCGAUGGGGAUGCGUUCCAUUAGAUAGUUGGCGGGGUAACGGCCCACCAAGUCAACGAUGGAUAGGGGUUCUGAGAGGAAGGUCCCCCACAUUGGAACUGCGACACGGUCCAAACUCCUACGGGAGGCAGCAGUGAGGAAUAGUGGUCAAUGGACGAGAGUCUGAACCAGCCAAGUAGCGUGAAGGAUGACUGCCCUAUGGGUUGUAAACUUCUUUUAUACGGGAAUAAAGUGGAGUAGGCAUACUCCUUUGUAUGUACCGUAUGAAUAAGGAUCGGCUAACUCCGUG